This 309-nucleotide long non-coding RNA is filed under the name Gossypium raimondii (Peruvian cotton). Its description in RNAcentral is "long non-coding RNA (GRAI_LNC010743)". Lineage: Eukaryota; Viridiplantae; Streptophyta; Magnoliopsida; Malvales; Malvaceae. The record is from RNAcentral.
UUUCUUUUUCUUUUUCUUUUUCUUUUUCUUUUUCUUUUUCUUUUUCUUUUUCUUUUCCUUUUUCCAUCAUCAUUUUUUCAUCAUUUUUUUUGAAUCUGAACUCAUAGGAUUAGGCAAGUCCUUGUUCUCCCUUUUGAUCAGAAUCAAUACUUUUCUAGGUAAAAUCUUCCACCUUCAUCUUGUAUGCGUAAGAUCUUCUUUGUGAUAAAAUUUCUUUCAUAGAGCCUUUUAGGGCGAAAUUUAACUAUGACGGAAAAACUUUGGAUCUUCCUCUUCAAUUAGGAUGAAAUCCAACAACAGAUAAAUGGC